This 460-nucleotide ribosomal RNA is filed under the name uncultured bacterium. Its description in RNAcentral is "partial 16S ribosomal RNA". It matches the Rfam family "Bacterial small subunit ribosomal RNA", at positions 338 to 795 of the family's 1533-position model. The record is from RNAcentral.
CCUACGGGAGGCAGCAGUGAGGAAUUUUGGUCAAUGGACGAGAGUCUGAACCAGCCAAGUCGCGUGAAGGAUGACUGCCCUAUGGGUUGUACACUUCUUUUAUAUGGGAAUAAAAUGUUCCACGUGUGUGAUUUUGUAUUUACCAUAUGAAUAAGGAUCGGCUAACUCCGUGCCAGCCGCCUCGGUAAUACGGAGGAUCCGAGCGUUAUCCGUAUUUAUUGUGUUUAAGGGGAGCGUAGGUGGAUUGUUAAGUUAGUUGUGAAAGUUUGCGGCUCAACCGGAAAAUUGCAGUUGAAACUGGCAGUCGUGAGUACAGUAGAGGUGGGCGGAAUUCGUGGUGUAGCGGUGAAAUGCUUAGAUAUCACGAAGAACUCCGAUUGCGAAGGCAGUUCACUGGACUGCAACUGACACGGAGGCUCGAAAGUGUGGGUAUCAAACAGGAUUAGAUACCCUUGUAGUC